This 64-nucleotide transfer RNA is filed under the name Cerconychia flectospina. RNAcentral's name for it is "tRNA-Glu". It matches the Rfam family "tRNA". From Rfam's summary of the family: Transfer RNA (tRNA) molecules are approximately 80 nucleotides in length. Their secondary structure includes four short double-helical elements and three loops (D, anti-codon, and T loops). Further hydrogen bonds mediate the characteristic L-shaped molecular structure. tRNAs have two regions of fundamental functional importance: the anti-codon, which is responsible for specific mRNA codon recognition, and the 3' end, to which the tRNAs corresponding amino acid is attached (by aminoacyl-tRNA synthetases). tRNAs cope with the degeneracy of the genetic code in two manners: having more than one tRNA (with a specific anti-codon) for a particular amino acid; and 'wobble' base-pairing, i.e. permitting non-standard base-pairing at the 3rd anti-codon position. The record is from RNAcentral. Lineage: Eukaryota; Metazoa; Arthropoda; Insecta; Plecoptera; Styloperlidae.
AUUUAUGUAGUUUAAUUAAAACAUUACAUUUUCACUGUAAAAAUAAAAGUCAUUUUCAUAAAUU